AUGAACUCGACGGCGUACUCGCGGCCGUCCAAGCUGCCGGGCGGCGCCGGCGACAGGAGGCCGCCCACGCGCCUCCGGGGCUUCGCCUCCAAGAUCGAGCCCAAGAAGCUCGGCGCCGGCCUCCUCGCCGGCUGCUGCCUCGCGCUCCUCACCUACGUCUCCCUCGCCAAGCUCUUCGCCAUCUACUCCCCCGUCUUCGCUAGCACGGCCAACACGUCCGGCCUGCUCCAGAACACCCCGCCGGCGUCGUCGUCCGUCCCGGAGACGACGGAUGCCAUCCCAGCCGAAGACACCACAUUCAUCGGCCGCGAGAACGGCAACGCCGUGGAUCCCGUCGAUUUCCCGGAGGAGGGGCCGGCGGCGGCCGGCUCUCAAGAGCCCGGCGUACCGGAGGUGCUCUCGAGGAAGGAGGACGAAGCCGAGAAGGCGGCGGAGGCGGCGACGACCUCCGUGCCAAAGCCAUCUGCGGAGGGCGGCGCCGGCGGGGAUGGGGCGGCAUUAGCAAAGAUGAGCUGCGACGAGAACGGGGUGGACGAGGGGUUCCCGUACGCGCGGCCGUCGGUGUGCGAGCUGUCCGGCGACAUCCGGAUCAGCCCCAAGCAGAAGACCAUGUACCUGGUGAACCCGUCGGGCGCCGGGGGCUUCGACGAGAACGGCGAGAAGCGGCUCCGGCCGUACGCCCGCAAGGACGACUUCCUCCUGCCCGCCGUGGUGGAGGUGACCGUCAAGUCGGUCCCCUCCGCCGCGGCCGCGCCGCAGUGCACGAAGAAGCACCGCGUGCCGGCGGUGGUGUUCUCCGUGGCCGGCUACACGGACAACUUCUUCCACGACAACACGGACGCGCUGAUCCCGCUGUUCCUGACGGCGUCGCACCUCAAGGGCGAGGUGCAGCUGCUCAUCACCAACUACAAGCCAUGGUGGGUGCAGAAGUACACGCCGGUGCUGCGCAAGCUCUCCAACUACGACCCCAUCAACUUCGACGCGGACGCCGGCGUGCACUGCUUCGCGGCGGGGUUCCUCGGCCUGUACCGCGACCGGGACCUCAUCAUCUCGCCGCACCCGACCCGCAACCCGCGCAACUACACCAUGGUGGACUACAACCGCUUCAUCCGGUCGGCCUACGCGCUCCGCCGCGACCGGCCGUCGGCGCUCGGGGAGGUGCCCGGGAUGCGGCCGCAGAUGCUGAUCAUCUCCCGCGGGGGCACGCGGAAGCUGCUGAACCUGGAGGAGGUGGCGGCGGCGGCGACGGAGCUGGGGUUCAACGUGACGGUGGCGGAGGCGGGCGCGGACGUGCCGGCGUUCGCGGCGCUGGUGAACGCGGCGGACGUGCUGCUGGCGGUGCACGGGGCCGGGCUGACGAACCAGAUCUUCCUGCCGACGCAGGCGGUGGUGGUGCAGAUCGUGCCGUGGGGGAACAUGGACUGGAUGGCCACCAACUUCUACGGGCAGCCGGCGCGGGAGAUGCAGCUCCGGUACGUGGAGUACUACGUGGACGAGGAGGAGACGAGCCUCAAGGACAAGUACCCUCGGGAGCACCUGGUGUUCAGCGACCCCAAGGCGCUGCACAAGCAGGGGUGGCAGGCGCUCGCCGAGACCAUCAUGAAGCAGGACGUGAAGGUGAACCUCACCAGGUUCCGGCCCUUCCUGCUCCAGGCCAUCGACAAGCUGCAGGAGUAG
This 1677-nucleotide ribosomal RNA is filed under the name Triticum aestivum (bread wheat). RNAcentral's name for it is "partial small subunit ribosomal RNA". The record is from RNAcentral. Lineage: Eukaryota; Viridiplantae; Streptophyta; Magnoliopsida; Poales; Poaceae.